Molecule: long non-coding RNA, 237 nt
Filed under: Gallus gallus (chicken)
Lineage: Eukaryota; Metazoa; Chordata; Aves; Galliformes; Phasianidae
Description: long non-coding RNA NONGGAT007209
Source: RNAcentral
CAAUAGAUAUUUUCCUGAGCUGCCAUGACUUCUGGUUGCCUGCUGUGAGAAACUGGUACCAGCCAGCUCACUUAAGCUGAUGAAAAAGUCUGAGUUAGAGUGUAUCAUCUGUGUAGAAUACGAGACAUCACCUCAACAAGUAUUACCAUCUGUCAGUUCUAGAUGCGCUUCCACAUGGAGAUUCAUGAAGCUCAUACCUUCUGGCAGUACUGUAGUCUUGGCCUUCAUGGAAGUUUC